This is a long non-coding RNA of Orbicella faveolata, 393 nucleotides long. Lineage: Eukaryota; Metazoa; Cnidaria; Anthozoa; Scleractinia; Merulinidae. The record is from RefSeq and is a predicted model, not a curated record.
AGUGGCUGCCUUAAUGCUAUCGGACAGGUUCACAACUAAACAAACAAUUCUAACGAAUAAUACUAAUAGUUUUUCGAGCAGAAGAUCAUUCCUCUCUCGGAUCGAAGGUGAGAGUUCAGCUUUUUGUUUUCGCUCUAUACCUCUGAGACUCAGAAAUGGCCAUUCGAUUGAGGAUUGUGACAUGUCUGGCUCUGUUUCUUCUAAUGGAAGAAGUCAAGCCUAUCCUGGCUAGGGGAGAGGACUAUAAGAAGCUGGAAGCCAGGGUGAAGAAACUGGAAAACGCCUUAUGUGGAGCAGAACUCGACUGCAAACUGUGCUCAAUAGUUAAAAACCUUACGGCUUUGGUAGAAAAGAUUGCAGACAAGGUUCCAACUCCUCCAAAAGGUAACUUCA